RNAcentral lists this ribosomal RNA (1346 nucleotides) under uncultured bacterium. RNAcentral describes it as "partial 16S ribosomal RNA". It matches the Rfam family "Bacterial small subunit ribosomal RNA", at positions 28 to 1381 of the family's 1533-position model. The record is from RNAcentral.
GACGAACGCUGGCGGCGUGCUUAACACAUGCAAGUCGAACGGAAAGGCCCUGCUUUUGUGGGGUGCUCGAGUGGCGAACGGGUGAGUAACACGUGAGUAACCUGCCCUUGACUUUGGGAUAACUUCAGGAAACUGGGGCUAAUACCGGAUAGGAGCUCCUGCUGCAUGGUGGGGGUUGGAAAGUUUCGGCGGUUGGGGAUGGACUCGCGGCUUAUCAGCUUGUUGGUGGGGUAGUGGCUUACCAAGGCUUUGACGGGUAGCCGGCCUGAGAGGGUGACCGGCCACAUUGGGACUGAGAUACGGCCCAGACUCCUACGGGAGGCAGCAGUGGGGAAUAUUGCACAAUGGGCGGAAGCCUGAUGCAGCAACGCCGCGUGCGGGAUGACGGCCUUCGGGUUGUAAACCGCUUUCGCCUGUGACGAAGCGUGAGUGACGGUAAUGGGUAAAGAAGCACCGGCUAACUACGUGCCAGCAGCCGCGGUGAUACGUAGGGUGCGAGCGUUGUCCGGAUUUAUUGGGCGUAAAGGGCUCGUAGGUGGUUGAUCGCGUCGGAAGUGUAAUCUUGGGGCUUAACCCUGAGCGUGCUUUCGAUACGGGUUGACUUGAGGAAGGUAGGGGAGAAUGGAAUUCCUGGUGGAGCGGUGGAAUGCGCAGAUAUCAGGAGGAACACCAGUGGCGAAGGCGGUUCUCUGGGCCUUUCCUGACGCUGAGGAGCGAAAGCGUGGGGAGCGAACAGGCUUAGAUACCCUGGUAGUCCACGCUGUAAACGGUGGGUACUAGGUGUGGGGUCCAUUCCACGGGUUCCGUGCCGUAGCUAACGCUUUAAGUACCCCGCCUGGGGAGUACGGCCGCAAGGCUAAAACUCAAAGGAAUUGACGGGGCCCCGCACAAGCGGCGGAGCAUGCGGAUUAAUUCGAUGCAACGCGUAGAACCUUACCUGGGUUUGACAUGGAUCGGGAGUGCUCAGAGAUGGGUGUGCCUCUUUUGGGGUCGGUUCACAGGUGGUGCAUGGCUGUCGUCAGCUCGUGUCGUGAGAUGUUGGGUUAAGUCCCGCAACGAGCGCAACCCUUGUUCACUGUUGCCAGCACGUUAUGGUGGGGACUCAGUGGAGACCGCCGGGGUCAACUCGGAGGAAGGUGGGGAUGACGUCAAGCCAUCAUGCCCCUUAUGUCCAGGGCUUCACGCAUGCUACAAUGGCUGGUACAGAGAGUGGCGAGCCUGUGAGGGUGAGCGAAUCUCGGAAAGCCGGUCUCAGUUCGGAUUGGGGUCUGCAACUCGACCUCAUGAAGUCGGAGUCGCUAGUAAUCGCAGAUCAGCAACGCUGCGGUGAAUACGUUCCCGGGGCU